UCGAGAAUCUUCGGCAAUGGGCGCAAGCCUGACCGAGCGACGCCGCGUGGAGGACGAAGGCCUUCGGGUUGUAAACUCCUGUCGAGGGGGAAGAAGGGCCGCAAGGCCUUGACUGAUCCCUGGAGGAAGCACGGGCUAAGUUCGUGCCAGCAGCCGCGGUAAGACGAACCGUGCGAACGUUAUUCGGAAUCACUGGGCUUAAAGCGCGUGUAGGCGGGACGGCACGUCUGUCGCUGAAAUCCCCCGGCUUAACCGGGGAACUGGCGUAGAUACGACCGUCCUGGAGGGGCGUAGGGGGACCUGGAACUUCCGGUGGAGCGGUGAAAUGCGUUGAGAUCGGAAGGAACGCCCGUGGCGAAAGCGAGGUCCUGGACGCCUACUGACGCUGAGACGCGAAAGCCAGGGGAGCGAACGG
Molecule: ribosomal RNA, 415 nt
Filed under: uncultured bacterium
Lineage: Bacteria
Description: bacterial SSU rRNA
Rfam family: Bacterial small subunit ribosomal RNA
Source: RNAcentral